RNAcentral lists this ribosomal RNA (1785 nucleotides) under Chaenotheca trichialis. RNAcentral's name for it is "eukaryotic LSU rRNA". It matches the Rfam family "Eukaryotic large subunit ribosomal RNA", at positions 1 to 1347 of the family's 3401-position model. Lineage: Eukaryota; Fungi; Ascomycota; Coniocybomycetes; Coniocybales; Coniocybaceae. The record is from RNAcentral.
CCAACCUUCUUAUCAGGUUUGACCUCGGAUCAGGUGGGGAUACCCGCUGAACUUAAGCAUAUCAAUAAGCGGAGGAAAAGAAACCAACCGGGAUUGCCUCAGUAACGGCGAGUGAAGCGGCAACAGCCCAAAUUUGAAAUCUGGCCCUAGGCCCGAGUUGUAAUUGGCAGAGGAUGCCUCGGGUGCGACGCCGGUCUAAGUUCCUUGGAACAGGACGUCAUAGAGGGUGAGAAUCCCGUCUGCGACCUGGCGUGGCGCCCGUGCGAGGCUCCUUCGACGAGUCGAGUUGUUUGGGAAUGCAGCUCUAAGCGGGUGGUAAAUUCCAUCUAAGGCUAAAUACCGGCCAGAGACCGAUAGCGCACAAGUAGAGUGAUCGAAAGAUGAAAAGCACUUUGGAAAGAGAGUUAAACAGCACGUGAAAUUGUUGAAAGGGAAGCGCUUGCAGUCAGACUCGUCCGCGGCCGAUCAGCCGGUGUUCUCACUGGUGCACUGGGCCGUGGACGGGCCAGCAUCGGUUUCGGCGGCGGGACAAAGGCCCUGGGAAUGUGGCCCCCCUCGGGGGGCGUUAUAGCCCGGGGUGCAAUGCCGCCUGCCGGGACCGAGGCCCGCGCUUCGGCGAGGAUGCUGGCGUAAUGGCUGUAAGCGACCCGUCUUGAAACACGGACCAAGGAGUCUAACAUCUACGCGAGUGCUUGGGCAUCAAACCCACGCGCGCAAUGAAAGUGAACGGAGGUGGGAACCCUUAAGGGUGCACCAUCGACCGAUCCUGAUGUCUUCGGAUGGAUUUGAGUAGGAGCGUAGCUGUUGGGACCCGAAAGAUGGUGAACUAUGCCUGAAUAGGGUGAAGCCAGAGGAAACUCUGGUGGAGGCUCGCAGCGGUUCUGACGUGCAAAUCGAUCGUCAAAUUUGGGUAUAGGGGCGAAAGACUAAUCGAACCAUUACUUAGGUACGCGCCGGCACAGGCCGGGGCGACUAGGUGGUUAAGAGGCAGCUGAAAGUGCGUGCCUAGUCCCCCUCCUCGGGGCAACACCGUCAAAUUGCGGGGACGUCCUAAAGGCGCUGUCACCAAGCGGGCGUGGAAACACGAUCCGUGGCCGGGGUAAUGACCUAGGGUAUGGUAAAAGCACAGCGCAUGAACCCCCCGGGGGCGAAAUGGAUAAUCCGCAGCCAAGUUCUAAGGGACCCAGUCCUAGGAAUGCAGUUCACAGACUAGAUGUCGGUGGGUCCGGCGCGCCUCCUGCGCUGCCGGGCUUAAGGUAUAGUCGAUCCGCCCAGAGAUGGGUACAGCGAGACGAAGCUGUCGGGGAGAGAGAGGUGCCUCUGGGCAUUUUCCAACGGCCCGAGCUUGCUGAGGGCGCCGCCUGGCGGUGCCCGGAGUCGAUGCUAGUAGCUGGUUCCUGCCGAAGUUUCCCUCAGGAUAGCAGUAACGUCUUCAGUUUUAUGAGGUAAAGCGAAUGAUUAGAGGCCUUGGGGUUGAAACAACCUUAACCUAUUCUCAAACUUUAAAUAUGUAAGAAGUCCUUGUUGCUUAGUUGAACGUGGACACUCGAAUGUAUCGUUACUAGUGGGCCAUUUUUGGUAAGCAGAACUGGCGAUGCGGGAUGAACCGAACGCGAGGUUAAGGUGCCGGAAUGCACGCUCAUCAGACACCACAAAAGGUGUUAGUUCAUCUAGACAGCCGGACGGUGGCCAUGGAAGUCGGAAUCCGCUAAGAAGUGUGUAACAACUUACCGGCCGAAUGAACUAGCCCUGAAAAUGGAUGGCGCUCAAGCGUGCUACCCAUAC